Molecule: unclassified non-coding RNA, 336 nt
Filed under: soil metagenome
Description: partial contains 5.8S ribosomal RNA, internal transcribed spacer 2, and large subunit ribosomal RNA
Rfam family: 5.8S ribosomal RNA (bases 1-120)
Source: RNAcentral
GAUGAAGAACGUAGCGAAAUGCGAUAAGUAGUGUGAAUUGCAGAAUUCAGUGAAUCAUCGAAUCUUUGAACGCACAUUGCGCCCCUUGGUAUUCCAUGGGGCAUGCCUGUUCGAGCAUCAUUUGUACCUUCAGGCUCUGCUUGGUGUUGGGUGUUUGUCUCGCCUCUGCGUGUAGACUCGCCUCAAAACAAUUGGCAGCCGGCGUAUUGAUUUCGGAGCGCAGUACAUCUCGCGCUUUGCACUCAUAACGACGACGUCCAAAAGUACAUUUUACACUCUUGACCUCGGAUCAGGUAGGGAUACCCGCUGAACUUAAGCAUAUCAAUAAGCGGAGGA